This 253-nucleotide ribosomal RNA is filed under the name uncultured bacterium. RNAcentral describes it as "partial 16S ribosomal RNA". It matches the Rfam family "Bacterial small subunit ribosomal RNA", at positions 524 to 776 of the family's 1533-position model. The record is from RNAcentral.
UACGUAGGGGGCAAGCGUUGUCCGGAAUCAUUGGGCGUAAAGAGCGUGUAGGCGGCUCGGUAAGUCCGCUCUGAAAGCCCGGGGCUCAACCCCGGGAGGCGGGCGGAUACUGUCGGGCUAGAGUCCGGAAGAGGCGAGUGGAAUUCCUGGUGUAGCGGUGAAAUGCGCAGAUAUCAGGAGGAACACCAAUGGCGAAGGCAGCGCGCUGGGACGGUACUGACGCUGAGACGCGAAAGCGUGGGGAGCAAACAGG